GCAGACAGCCUCAGCGCCAGGGCGCGCGGCAGACGGCUCCCUCCCCCCAACCCAAACACACUGACACCGGCGCUCCACGCGUUAUAUAACCUCGCCGCCGCCCCCGGUCCAGGCGGGCGCCCCCUCCCCACGCCGCGCGGCCCGGGCGGGGAGGGGCGAGGGGAAGGAGCGAGAGUUGCGCAGACAGCAGGCGCCGGGCCGGGGCAGCCCAGACACAGACGUUAGAUCAUGGAGUUUAGGACUUGGGCUGCCAUG
This 255-nucleotide long non-coding RNA is filed under the name Homo sapiens (human). Its description in RNAcentral is "non-protein coding lnc-ZBTB18-10:1". The record is from RNAcentral. Lineage: Eukaryota; Metazoa; Chordata; Mammalia; Primates; Hominidae.